GUCCACGCCCUAAACGAUGUCAACUGGUUGUCGGGAAGCAAUUCCUUGGUAACGAAGCUAACGCGUGAAGUUGACCGCCUGGGGAGUACGGCCGCAAGGUUAAACUCAAAGGAAUUGACGGGGACCCGCACAAGCGGUGGAUUAUGUGGAUUAAUUCGAUGCAACGCGAAAAACCUUACCUACCCUUGACAUGUACGGAAGCCCGCAGAGAUGCGGGUGUGCCCGAAAGGGAGCCGUAACACAGGUGCUGCAUGGCUGUCGU
RNAcentral lists this ribosomal RNA (262 nucleotides) under uncultured bacterium. RNAcentral's name for it is "partial 16S ribosomal RNA". It matches the Rfam family "Bacterial small subunit ribosomal RNA", at positions 793 to 1055 of the family's 1533-position model. The record is from RNAcentral.